GUACGGCCGAGUGAAGCGGCAACAGCUCAAAUUUGAAAUCUGGCCCCCCGGCCCGAGUUGUAAUUUGCAGAGGAUGCUUCUGGCGACGCGCCUUCCGAGUUCCCUGGAACGGGACGCCACAGAGGGUGAGAGCCCCGUCCGGUCGUGCGCCUAGCCUGUGUGAAGCUCCUUCGACGAGUCGAGUAGUUUGGGAAUGCUGCUCUAAAUGGGAGGUAUACGUCUUCUAAAGCUAAAUACCGGCCAGAGACCGAUAGCGCACAAGUAGAGUGAUCGAAAGAUGAAAAGCACUUUGAAAAGAGGGUUAAAUAGUACGUGAAAUUGCUGAAAGGGAAGCGCUUAUGACCAGACUUGGGCCCGGUGAAUCACCCAGCGUUCUCGCUGGUGCACUUUGCCGGCCCAGGCCAGCAUCAGUUCGCGCCGGGGGAUAAAGGCUUCGGGAAUGUAGCUCCCUCGGGAGUGUUAUAGACCGUUGCGCAAUACCCUGGGGCGGACUGAGGUACGCGUUCUGCAA
Molecule: ribosomal RNA, 511 nt
Filed under: Hapsidospora flava
Lineage: Eukaryota; Fungi; Ascomycota; Sordariomycetes; Hypocreales; Bionectriaceae
Description: eukaryotic LSU rRNA
Rfam family: Eukaryotic large subunit ribosomal RNA
Source: RNAcentral